CGUACACUCCUGCGGGAGGCAGCAGUGGGGAAUAUUGCACAAUGGGCGCAAGCCUGAUGCAGCCAUGCCGCGUGUGUGAAGAAGGCCUUCGGGUUGUAAAGCACUUUCAGCGGGGAGGAAGGCGAUACGGUUAAUAACCGUGUUGAUUGACGUUACCCGCAGAAGAAGCACCGGCUAACUCCGUGCCAGCAGCCGCGGUAAUACGGAGGGUGCAAGCGUUAAUCGGAAUUACUGGGCGUAAAGCGCACGCAGGCGGUCUGUCAAGUCGGAUGUGAAAUCCCCGGGCUCAACCUGGGAACUGCAUUCGAAACUGGCAGGCUUGAGUCUUGUAGAGGGGGGUAGAAUUCCAGGUGUAGCGGUGAAAUGCGUAGAGAUCUGGAGGAAUACCGGUGGCGAAGGCGGCCCCCUGGACAAAGACUGACGCUCAGGUGCGAAAGCGUGGGGAGCAAACAGGAUUAGAUACCCGUGUAGUCCCAUGAU
This 480-nucleotide ribosomal RNA is filed under the name uncultured organism. RNAcentral describes it as "partial 16S ribosomal RNA". It matches the Rfam family "Bacterial small subunit ribosomal RNA", at positions 330 to 801 of the family's 1533-position model. The record is from RNAcentral.